UUACCAUCUACCACCGGUCCACCACCAUAAUUUCUGCCGUUCAAUCCCGUUUACUCCAGUUGCCAAAUUAGUGUUCUUCUUCAACCUAAUCUCUAUUGGUUUUUCAUACGUUACGGAACAAAAAAUUCCUCAUCAACAGGUCCAUUAUUUCUGCUAAUAAAUUCCUAGAAAUGUUAAAAACAGGUGAUCUUCCGAGGAUUCUCAGUUUCCUUAUAAACCGUACUCUUUACACUGUCAAUGAUUUUGUAGGUAAAGGACGUAUUGAGAAACCAUUCAUCUCAGGAAAAUCAUUUACAUCAACACUGAACUACUAUGUGUGAAGCUCAUUUGUGCAGGUCUUUAAUAUAUGGCUUUGCAUUUUCAUUUUUUCAGUAUUAUUUGGUGUUUGGAAAAUGGGUUGCCAAUGUUAGAGAAACUAAUCAAUAGGAUCCUUCAUGUAAUUUGCAAUACACAAUUAUACAUUGUGAUGGAUACAGAGACUUUUGCUUCGGGUUGCUUCUUAUCAUCAGUGAGUUCCUAAGUUUUAUCAAUGGGGGUAUCAACAAAUCCAUGAAAGUAAUCUACGUAUGUACUAAUAGUCCUCAUUUUGUAAUGUUGAGUGUUUAUCAGAUAUUCGUAGUGGGUGUUUUGCAGGUAAUCAACAUUUGUACGGCUGUAGGAAGCUUGAUUGUUUCUGACGCUGAUUACCUUGGAGGUUCAAGCUAUGAGUUUCAAUUUUCAAAUUUAUACAAUCGAAAUGCCAUGAAAUUUCAUUAUCAUUCACAGAACAGAUAUAUACAUUCUCCAAAUUUCAAGUAAUACACGUCCCCUAAUUGCUAGGCGUGCAAGGGAGUUAUCCCCUGUAUUACGGGCAUGCACAUUGCAAUGAAGAAGAAGCUGAAAGAGAAGAGAAACUAACAAAUUGAUAAAUGAUUAUGCUUUUCAUAAGUUUGGAUAAAUGCUCUUCUUGAUUCUCACCGACUAUUCCAUCCUCAUAUUCUUCUUCUUUUACCUGUUGAUCGCUGUAGCUGUGGUGGGAUGAUAUUUAGUGACGGCAAAGCUUAUAAAAUUAUUGUGGUGAUAGAAUAGUCGGUGAGAAUCAAGAACAAAAGUCUCCGAAACCAUUUACGUCAAGAGCAAUUCCAUAGAGAGGGUUCUCAAGAGGUCCAUCAUAUCUCGAGCAUCAAAGAUCUACUGAACCUCCUAUGAUGGCACUCACAGAAUCGAGCUAAACCAAACACGUUUGAAUUCUCUUUGAUGUCUUUACAUGUCUGUUUUUAAUAGAUGGUGGAAAUAGGAAGGCAUGACUAAACUUAAAAGUGACCAUUCCAAUAGGAGGAAGUGAACAGAUCGUAAGGGCUUCUAUUAGGAGCUCUUCCCUGUGGAGCCAAUGUGAAGUCCUUAGAUUUAUGCGAAACUAUGAGGCUGGGAAAUGAGGAUCCAGAAAAUGUGGAAUUCGAGUUCUUGCUUAAGCUUGUUCAAAUGGUUUCCGAGAUUCGCACCACCUACAAAACUUUCAAACAUAUAGGGGAGGUUGAAGAAGGUAAACCCUGGAUGAUUUUUCAAAAGCGGAACAAAUUAGAUUUCAUGGGGAUUAAUGAUGUCACCAUCUUAGAUGUGUUAAUGCUCGAUGAUAAUCCCACCCAAUCAAAAAAUCCACUGGCGAUUUAGUUAACAGGUAUUCCAAAGUCUGGCUAACAGGUAUUCGAAUGAUGUUCACUAGCAACAGUAGGGUAUGAUAAAAAUUAGGUAUAUUUUUGGGCAUAUUUAGUUAAUUAAACUGUUAAGUGAAGUCUAUUAAUCUUCCAUGGUUGAAAAUUAGUUCAUAAGCCUGUCAAAAAGAUUUUGUAGGAAAAUUCACAGGCUGCUUACAAAUCAUGCUGGCAUUCGAACACAAUUAUAUAUAUAUCUCUGUCCAAGAUUAACA
Long non-coding RNA from Papaver somniferum (opium poppy), 1906 nucleotides. RefSeq lists it as uncharacterized. The transcript is spliced from 6 exons. NCBI's taxonomy places the organism in Eukaryota, Viridiplantae, Streptophyta, Magnoliopsida, Ranunculales, Papaveraceae. The record is from RefSeq and is a predicted model, not a curated record.